UGUGUGUUUACAGGCAGUUGCAACAGCGUGACUUUAGAUCAUUAGAAUGCAUUUGCCAAAAGCCACAAAAUACACCUGAAUGGAUUUCUGCAAAUAUGAACAUCCUUUUACAUUUGGGAACAUUACAGUCCUCUUUAUCAAACAACCAUGAAAAGUUCAGUCCAGAGGAAAAGGGGGAAAAGCAACUCCAGACUAUCAUCUGUGGAGUCAGACAACCCUUGACGCACAGCAUAUACCGUCCAGUACAUCUACCAGUGAUCUCUGGUUCUCGGGUUUUGAAGAAAGUAUGCCCCGCUCCUACCCAAGCACUGCUUUUUAAAUCCAUACAGACUGUAAACCUUUUCGCCUAUAUGAACUAAAGACACUUUAAAUAUAGAAGACUACUUUCAUUCAGGGAGAGGCCUCGCGCUGAAGCAAUCUCCGGGCCCUGCACAAAGGAUAGAAAUGUCUGUGAAUUUUUACUUGUAAAUGGAUAAAUAACUAGAUUAUUUUAUGUCCUGAAUUUUACAUGGUCCGUUUUGAAAAUGUUUUUUUUUUAGAAAAUAAUAACGCCAUUUGUCUGGGUUCUUAAUCAGACAUCUGUGACUGGACAGCUCGCACAACAACACAGAUAUUGGAUUCCACUUCUGCUAGAAGUUGGUGUUAUUCAGACAAAUUGUUCUUCCAGAAAGAGAGAAGGAAUUAGAUAAUUAUAAUAUUCUAAAUCCAUUUGAGGGACAUUAACAAAUCAAAACAUCUUCCCUAGCUCAGAUCCUUUAUUCGUGUUUGUAUUUGUGUCUGGUUGGCAGAUCAAUGCUACACCUGUCUGGGUUGUGUUGCUUGCACUAAGCUGUCUGUCUGCCACUGGUUAUACUGAUAACAUAUUCCCCUACACACACACUGAGACGCUAUAGAAUGUAUCAUGUAGAACAGAUAGGAUUUCCUGUUCUAUUCAUUAUAUUUCUAUCUGCAACAUUCUGAACCAGGCUGAAUACACACCGGCACAAGGGCUACAUCUCCAUUCCAGAAACUGGCUUGUUACCUGUAAAAAAAUAAAUAAAUACAUCUUUACAAACAUUCUCAUGCCUCUGCCAAACAUGAACAUUCCCCAACAUUUAAAUCCACCUGUAAAGGUCUAGGAUAAACACCUAACCAACCUAGUGUUGGUAUGUGGUUAUGUUAAGGACAGAUGUCCAAAACCCAACGGUAAUGAGGUAGAAGAACAUUUCACCACUUGUCUUGUCAUCAUUAGUGAGACAUAAAGACGCCUCCCCCUGGCAGCAGUCCUGCUAUAGGAGCUAUGUGAUGUUUGAUAGCUCCAGCUCAUUGGAAUGUACCAGGGCCGUUAUGUGAUGUUUGACAGCUCCAGCUCAUUGGAAUGUACCAGGGCCGUUAUGUGAUGUUUGAUAGCUCCAGCUCAUUGGAAUGUACCAGGGCC
Salvelinus fontinalis (brook trout) is the source of this 1417-nucleotide long non-coding RNA. RefSeq lists it as uncharacterized. The record is from RefSeq and is a predicted model, not a curated record. The transcript has 3 exons. Lineage: Eukaryota; Metazoa; Chordata; Actinopteri; Salmoniformes; Salmonidae.